RNAcentral lists this ribosomal RNA (497 nucleotides) under uncultured bacterium. Its description in RNAcentral is "partial 16S ribosomal RNA". It matches the Rfam family "Bacterial small subunit ribosomal RNA", at positions 28 to 507 of the family's 1533-position model. The record is from RNAcentral.
GAUGAACGCUGGCGGCGUGCCUAAUACAUGCAAGUCGAGCGAACAGACGAGGAGCUUGCUCCUCUGACGUUAGCGGCGGACGGGUGAGUAACACGUGGAUAACCUACCUAUAAGACUGGGAUAACUUCGGGAAACCGGAGCUAAUACCGGAUAAUAUAUUGAACCGCAUGGUUCAAUAGUGAAAGACGGUUUUGCUGUCACUUAUAGAUGGAUCCGCACCGCAUUAGCUAGUUGGUAAGGUAACGGCUUACCAAGGCGACGAUGCGUAGCCGACCUGAGCGGGUGAUCGGCUACACUGGAACUGAGACUCGGUCCAGACUCCUACGGUGGGCAGCAGUAGGGAAUCUUACGCGAUGGGCGAGAGCCUGACGGAGCAACGCCGCGUGAGUGAUGAAGGUCUUCGGAUCGUAAAACUCUGUUAGUAGGGAAGAACAAAUGUGUAAGUAACUAUGCACGUCUUGACGGUACCUAAUCAGAAAGCCACGGCUAACUACGUG